This 530-nucleotide ribosomal RNA is filed under the name uncultured bacterium. RNAcentral's name for it is "bacterial SSU rRNA". It matches the Rfam family "Bacterial small subunit ribosomal RNA", at positions 777 to 1304 of the family's 1533-position model. The record is from RNAcentral.
AAUAGAUACCCUGGUAGUCCACGCCGUAAACGAUGAGUGCUAAGUGUUAGAGGGUUUCCGCCCUUUAGUGCUGCAGCUAACGCAUUAAGCACUCCGCCUGGGGAGUACGGUCGCAAGACUGAAACUCAAAGGAAUUGACGGGGGCCCGCACAAGCGGUGGAGCAUGUGGUUUAAUUCGAAGCAACGCGAAGAACCUUACCAGGUCUUGACAUCCUCUGACAACUCUAGGGAUAGAGUCGUUCCCCUUCGGGGGACAGAGUGACAGGUGGUGCAUGGUUGUCGUCAGCUCGUGUCGCGAGAUGUUGGGUUAAGUCCCGCAACGAGCGCAACCCUUGAUCUUAGUUGCCAGCAUUUAGUUGGGCACUCUAAGGUGACUGCCGGUGACAAACCGGAGGAAGGUGGGGAUGACGUCAAAUCAUCAUGCCCCUUAUGACCUGGGCUACACACGUGCUACAAUGGAUGGUACAAAGGGCUGCAAGACCGCGAGGUCAAGCCAAUCCCAUAAAACCAUUCUCAGUUCGGAUUGUAGG